AUUGAACGCUGGCGGCAUGCUUUACACAUGCAAGUCGAACGGUAACAGGCCUUCGGGUGCUGACGAGUGGCGAACGGGUGAGUAAUGCAUCGGAACGUACCCAGAGGUGGGGGAUAACGCAGCGAAAGCUGUGCUAAUACCGCAUGUGAUCUGAGGAUGAAAGCGGGGGACCGAGCAGCAAUGUUUGGCCUCGCGCCUUUGGAGCGGCCGAUGUGGGAUUAGCUAGUUGGUGGGGUAAAGGCCUACCAAGGCGACGAUCCGUAGCUGGUCUGAGAGGACGACCAGCCACACUGGGACUGAGACACGGACCAGACUCCUACGGGAGGCAGCAGUGGGGAAUUUUGGACAAUGGGCGCAAGCCUGAUCCAGCAAUGCCGCGUGCGGGAAGAAGGCCUUCGGGUUGUAAACCGCUUUUGGCAGGAACGAAACGGUGUCCGCUAAUACCGGGCGCUAAUGACGGUACCUGCAGAAUAAGCACCGGCUAACUACGUG
RNAcentral lists this ribosomal RNA (492 nucleotides) under uncultured bacterium. Its description in RNAcentral is "partial 16S ribosomal RNA". It matches the Rfam family "Bacterial small subunit ribosomal RNA", at positions 29 to 507 of the family's 1533-position model. The record is from RNAcentral.